ACCACGAUGACCGAGUGGUCUAAGGUGUUGGACUUAAGAUCCAAUGUUCAAUUGAACGCAUGGGUUCGAAUCCCAUUCGUGGUA
RNAcentral lists this transfer RNA (84 nucleotides) under Hepatospora eriocheir. It matches the Rfam family "tRNA". Rfam says of the family: Transfer RNA (tRNA) molecules are approximately 80 nucleotides in length. Their secondary structure includes four short double-helical elements and three loops (D, anti-codon, and T loops). Further hydrogen bonds mediate the characteristic L-shaped molecular structure. tRNAs have two regions of fundamental functional importance: the anti-codon, which is responsible for specific mRNA codon recognition, and the 3' end, to which the tRNAs corresponding amino acid is attached (by aminoacyl-tRNA synthetases). tRNAs cope with the degeneracy of the genetic code in two manners: having more than one tRNA (with a specific anti-codon) for a particular amino acid; and 'wobble' base-pairing, i.e. permitting non-standard base-pairing at the 3rd anti-codon position. The record is from Rfam by way of RNAcentral. Lineage: Eukaryota; Fungi; Microsporidia; Hepatosporidae.